AGCAGCCGCGGUAAUUCCAGCUCCAAUAGCGUAUAUUAAAGUUGCUGCAGUUAAAAAGCUCGUAGUUGAAUUUCGGGACUAAUAUGUCGGUCGUGCCUCGGUACGUACUGGUUUAUUGGUUUCUCCUUUCUGAAGAACCAUGAUGUCAUUUAUUUGGUGUCGUGGAGAAUCAGGACUGUUACUUUGAAAAAAUUAGAGUGUUUAAAGCAGGCUCACGCUUGAAUACAUUAGCAUGGAAUAAUGAAAUAGGACGUUUGAUUCUAUUUUGUUGGUUUCUAGGAUCGACGUAAUGAUUAAUAGGGAUAGUUGGGGGCAUUAGUAUUCAAUUGUCAGAGGUGAAAUUCUUGGAUUUAUUGAAGACUAACUACUGCGAAAGCAUUUGCCAAGGAUGUUUUCAUUAAUCAAGAACGAAAGUUAGGGGAUCGAAGACGAUCAGAUACCGUCGUAGUC
Molecule: ribosomal RNA, 450 nt
Filed under: uncultured Glomeromycotina
Lineage: Eukaryota; Fungi; Glomeromycota
Description: SSU rRNA
Rfam family: Eukaryotic small subunit ribosomal RNA
Source: RNAcentral